Molecule: ribosomal RNA, 520 nt
Filed under: uncultured Glomus
Lineage: Eukaryota; Fungi; Glomeromycota; Glomeromycetes; Glomerales; Glomeraceae
Description: SSU rRNA
Rfam family: Eukaryotic small subunit ribosomal RNA
Source: RNAcentral
AGCAGCCGCGGUAAUUCCAGCUCCAAUAGCGUAUAUUAAAGUUGUUGCAGUUAAAAAGCUCGUAGUUGAAUUUCGGGAUCAUCAGGUUGGUCGUGCCUCUGGUAUGUACUGAUUUCGAUGGUUCCUCCUUCUUGAAGAACCGUAAUGCCAUUAAUUUGGUGUUGCGGGGAAACAGGACUGUUACUUUGAAAAAAUUAGAGUGUUUAAAGCAGGCAAUCGCUUGAAUACAUUAGCAUGGAAUAAUGAAAUAGGACGUUCGAUCCUAUUUUGUUGGUUUCUAGGAUUGACGUAAUGAUUAAUAGGGAUAGUUGGGGGCAUUAGUAUUCAAUUGUCAGAGGUGAAAUUCUUGGAUUUAUUGAAGACUAACUACUGCGAAAGCAUUUGCCAAGGAUGUUUUCAUUAAUCAAGAACGAAAGUUAGGGGAUCGAAGACGAUCAGAUACCGCCGUAGUCUUAACCAUAAACUAUGCCGACUAGGGAUCGGAUGAUGUUAAUUUUUAAUGACUCAUUCGGCGCCUUAC